Cucumis sativus (cucumber) is the source of this 702-nucleotide long non-coding RNA. RefSeq lists it as uncharacterized. The transcript is spliced from 2 exons. Lineage: Eukaryota; Viridiplantae; Streptophyta; Magnoliopsida; Cucurbitales; Cucurbitaceae. The record is from RefSeq and is a predicted model, not a curated record.
AAGAAAAUAGAUUUACGUUUAUGAUCGAACCUUUUCAAUCACAAGCAAGUCAACCCCUCCGGUUUCACUUUCCGUUCCCAAUUAUCAAAAUUUUCUUUCUUCUUCGCGGGGAACGGAUGCCAUUGAUUCUGUUGUUGAUCCUCUCAGAGCCUUCGCUAAGGACAGCCUUCGUCUUGUCAAAAGAUGCCACAAGCCUGAUCGCAAUGCCAUGUCGUUCCUACACCUUCUUCCUUCUUCUUUUUCUUUCAUUGAUUAAUACUUAGAUUAGGAACUGCAUUAUAUUCUCUAUUUUUUUUAACAUUUCUCAUAAACUUCGCAUACCACUGUGACACAGAAUUCACUAAAGUGGCAUUCCGUACAGCUAUCGGUUUCGUCGUGAUGGGAUUUGUUGGGUUCUUCGUCAACUUGAUCUUUAUUCCCAUUAACAAUAUAAUCGUCGGAUCUUGAAAGGGUUGAAGUUCCUGAUUGGAAGCAUUCUAGUUGAACACAUUUUCACUGAGUAAUGUCAAACAGUUGUCUUUGUCACUUCGGCAUUUUAUAAUUUUCCCCUCCUGAUUUAUAGUCUUUUGUCAAGCAAACUGCAAACCGCGUUUGAGUAUAUAUGAUUACAGUGUUCAUUUUCUUUUCCUUAUUUAAUAAAUUUUCUCAAUUAGUGUUCUUCCCUGAGGAUAAUGUUCUGCUGAUUAGAUUGCUUUACAAUUA